Molecule: long non-coding RNA, 2259 nt
Organism: Triplophysa rosa
Lineage: Eukaryota; Metazoa; Chordata; Actinopteri; Cypriniformes; Nemacheilidae
Exons: 5
Source: RefSeq, a predicted model, not a curated record
UUUUAAGUCUUUUAAGCUUAGUUACUGAAGCAAGAGGAGGAGCCUGGUCAUGAAAACAGUGAAAGUAAUAUAAAGAGAAGAGAUGCUGUAACAGCAGUCAGAGGAAAACAUCGCAAACAUGGUACACCCUUUAAUGAUUGGCAUUAUUACGAUUAAUACGUCCAUGACCAUUGCAUACUGGAUCUUUAUUCUGACAGAAGCUUUUCAUAAAAAGACUGAAGAUGAAGACAACCCGGCAUAGCCAACAUAACCCGUGUGUAGUUAAAUAUGGAAAAGUUUAGGGUCGAGUGUUUUUAUACAUGUGAUUUAUUUAUUUAUUUUGAAAACCCCAGGAAUGUUUGCCUUUUAAAUCAUCCGAAUUGAUCCAGUCUCUCGCAAUACAAAUUUUCCAGGGACUGCUUUACCUCCAGGUAUGAAUGCAGAGGGUGGGUGUUCAGUAAUACAGAAUCAGAUUCAUUCAUACAGAGGAUCAUAGCUGGAAAUCUGGGUCACUUGCUCAGACAUAAACAAGAUCUUCGUCUGUCAGUCAGAGCACAAUAUUUAUACAUUAUCAGCCUCUAGUUUUGAAGAACAUACCAACUGAAACUAGAAAUGCAUCCUAUAUUGAUCAGCAUAGUGACCGCCAACUCGACUUUAACCAUUAUCUACUGGAACUUUCUUGUGUCUCAGAUUUUCUCCAAGAAUAUCAAGGAUGAGCCAGAGCCAGAACCAGAGGAAGUUCCUGUCUGAACCGAUGAAGGUCUUGACCCUGAGCCUGGUCAUGAUGAAGAGGAAGACCCAUCCAAAUGACUGUGAGAGGAGGAAGAGGGAUGAUGGAAAGAAAACAAGAAUAAAGACUCAACAGAUGUGACCCAGACGAGGACCAGAAGAGAAAUGUUCCAUGAUCAAAACCACUAUUGUACUCUUUUCCACCAGUCAUACAAAGCUUUAAAUGUGUUUAAAAGAUGUAAGGGAGGAUGUGUUUUUGUAAAGAGAAUUUUUCGUAGAAAUCUUAAAAUUCUUGUCAUAGAUAUUGUAAAAAUAUUAACUAUAGUUUGCUCAGUUUAGAAUGUUUUUAAUUUCUUUAGCUAGUAAACUGGCAUGUAUCGUUUUCUUAGUAAUAAAUAAAUAAAUAAUAGAGUACAGGGUGUCAUUGUGAUGCUUGUCCAUUAGCUCUUUGACCCCGCAUAUAGUCCACUUUGUUAACCUAAAAGUUGCUGCCUUAAGAUAUUUAGAUCAUUUUAAAAUAUUUGAAUAAAACAUAAUGAAAUAUGUCAGAAACUGAUUUAAUGUAAUUAACAAAUGUUUUCAUCUGAAAUCUUUUCCAGACACAAGCUGACACAAUUCACAUUUGUCUUUAUUGACGUCAUUGGUUCAGUUGCACUACACAGUACAUCAGGUGUUAAAAUGCAGACAGUUAGAAAAAAGACUAUAUCCAGGCUCAAGUCGCCGCCUCAUGGCACUAAGAACAUUAGCUUGAUUGUCUUCUGCUGUUAAAGCACUCCAGGAAGGAAAUACACAGGAAGACCAGCCAUGGCUACUACAGAAGAAAUAAUUGAUAUUACUGUGUGGCACACUGUUGUGAUUCUACAAAUAUGCAACAGGAAGGAAAGCAACUGAGGAGCACUGAACUCAGAAAGAGAGAGAGGGGGAAAGGGUGAGAGACGAUUCAAGAUGAUGGAUGAUCGACAUGUCAAUGAAACAAAGCUUUGCAAGUGAUGAACAAACGCUUGUGAAGUUGUGGUGCCUAAAGAGACACAUUGGAAAAAUAUAUAUGGAUUUAGAGCAAAAGACAGAUAAUCCUAUCAAGGAGGAUGUUUAUUUCAAGGACUACAAACCUGUAGAAAAAGAUCUGAUCACUUUACCCAAGCUUGUCAUAUACCUGCUGCUGGCUGUAGGUGUGACCGGGAUCACCCUGUUCGCCAUCAUUAGACACCUCAUCAAAGAUCUCCUCCAUGAUCUGGCUGAUUUCCUGUUUGGAGAGCAGCCGGUGGAAGAGCAUGAGAGUCCCUGGGAAAGAUGGGAAAAGUUCAAGGCAAGCUGGAUUCCAGAGACAAGCAUUGAGUUGGAGGAAAUGGUGAAGGAAAGUGAGAUCCAACAUCUCAAAGAAGGCACAGUAGACCUACCAUCUCCAUGGAUUAUAAAUUGUAAACUUCAGCACACUCCUUAUCAAAUCUCAAAAAAGCAAUUGUGUUCCCCAAAAAGGAACAUUAACUUUUUUUCUGAUUUUGUGUCAUUAAUAUAUUUUUAUAAAUAGAAAACCAUUCAACAUAGCAACAU